GACGCACGCUGGCGGCGUGCUUAACACAUGCAAGUCGAACGGGCUGCCUGGUUUUCGGAUCGGGUGGUGAGUGGCGAACGGGUGAGUAACACGUGAGUAACCUGCCCCUCUCUUUGGGAUAACGUCGGGAAAUCGGCGCUAAUACCGGGUAUUCUGGCUUCCUCGCAUGGGGUUGUUGGGAAAGGUUUUUUCUGGUGGGGGAUGGGCUCGCGGCCUAUCAGCUUGUUGGUGGGGUGAUGGCCUACCAAGGCGGUGACGGGUAGCCGGCCUGAGAGGGUGUCCGGCCACACUGGGACUGAGACACGGCCCAGACUCCUACGGGAGGCAGCAGUGGGGAAUAUUGCACAAUGGGCGGAAGCCUGAUGCAGCGACGCCGCGUGGGGGAUGACGGCCUUCGGGUUGUAAACCUCUUUCAGUGCAGAACAAGGCUCUUUGUGGGUUGAGGGUAGGCGCAGAAGAAGCGCCGGCUAACUACGUG
Molecule: ribosomal RNA, 478 nt
Filed under: uncultured bacterium
Lineage: Bacteria
Description: partial 16S ribosomal RNA
Rfam family: Bacterial small subunit ribosomal RNA
Source: RNAcentral